This 253-nucleotide ribosomal RNA is filed under the name uncultured bacterium. RNAcentral describes it as "partial 16S ribosomal RNA". It matches the Rfam family "Bacterial small subunit ribosomal RNA", at positions 524 to 776 of the family's 1533-position model. The record is from RNAcentral.
GACGUAGGGGGCGAGCGUUGCCCGGAAUUACUGGGCGUAAAGCGCACGCAGGCGGUUUGUUAAGCUAGAUGUGAAAGCCCCGGGCUCAACCUGGGAUGGUCAUUUAGAACUGGCAGACUAGAGUCUUGGAGAGGGGAGUGGAAUUCCAGGUGUAGCGGUGAAAUGCGUAGAUAUCUGGAGGAACAUCAGUGGCGAAGGCGACUCCCUGGCCAAAGACUGACGCUCAUGUGCGAAAGUGUGGGUAGCGAACAGG